GAUUGGGGGUGUGUGAGCAUAAGGAACUGUGGGAAGCUGGAAAUGGGCCGUCUCUGUGCAAAGGUCAAGGCAGGACUCCUGGUAGGUAUAGGGUAUAGUGGGGGAUGACCCUGGGGUUAGAUCCCACAGGAAGGGACAAGAUGCAGACUCAUGAUGGCACCUGGUUGGAAAACUUGGCGUUGAUGGCAAUGGCACCAGUGAGCUACUGGGUCUUCUUGUUGUGGCCUGACUGCCCAAGCUGGCAGUCUGA
Molecule: long non-coding RNA, 250 nt
Filed under: Marmota monax (woodchuck)
Lineage: Eukaryota; Metazoa; Chordata; Mammalia; Rodentia; Sciuridae
Source: RNAcentral